GUGGGGAAUAUUGGGCAAUGGGCGAAAGCCUGACGCAGCCAUGCCGCGUGAAUGAUGAAGGUCUUAGGAUUGUAAAAUUCUUUCACCGGGGACGAUAAUGACGGUACCCGGAGAAGAAGCUCCGGCUAACUUCGUGCCAGCAGCCGCGGUAAUACGAAGGGGGCUAGCGUUGCUCGGAAUUACUGGGCGUAAAGGGCGCGUAGGCGGACAGCUUAGUCAGAGGUGAAAGCCCAGGGCUCAACCUUGGAAUUGCCUUUGAUACUGGCUGUCUUGAGUUUGGGAGAGGUGAGUGGAACUCCGAGUGUAGAGGUGAAAUUCGUAGAUAUUCGGAAGAACACCAGUGGCGAAGGCGACUCACUGGCCCAAUACUGACGCUGAGGCGCGAAAGCGUGGGGAGCAAACAGGAUUAGAAACCCCGGUAGUCC
RNAcentral lists this ribosomal RNA (425 nucleotides) under uncultured bacterium. Its description in RNAcentral is "partial 16S ribosomal RNA". It matches the Rfam family "Bacterial small subunit ribosomal RNA", at positions 354 to 796 of the family's 1533-position model. The record is from RNAcentral.